AAAACGACUCUCGGCAACGGAUAUCUCGGCUCUCGCAUCGAUGAAGAACGUAGCGAAAUGCGAUACUUGGUGUGAAUUGCAGAAUCCCGUGAACCAUCGAGUCUUUGAACGCAAGUUGCGCCCGAAGCCGUCAGGCCGAGGGCACGCCUGCCUGGGCGUCACGC
RNAcentral lists this ribosomal RNA (164 nucleotides) under Solanum elaeagnifolium. RNAcentral's name for it is "5.8S ribosomal RNA". It matches the Rfam family "5.8S ribosomal RNA". Rfam says of the family: 5.8S ribosomal RNA (5.8S rRNA) is a component of the large subunit of the eukaryotic ribosome. It is transcribed by RNA polymerase I as part of the 45S precursor that also contains 18S and 28S rRNA. Lineage: Eukaryota; Viridiplantae; Streptophyta; Magnoliopsida; Solanales; Solanaceae. The record is from RNAcentral. RNAcentral also lists the same sequence under 14 other names.